GAGAUCGGGAUAACACCUGGAAACAGAUGCUAAUACCGGAUAACAACAGAUGAUGCCUAUCAACUGUUUAAAAGAUGGUUCUGCUAUCACUCUUGGAUGGACCUGCGGUGCAUUAGCUAGUUGGUAGGGUAACAGCCUACCAAGGCGAUGAUGCAUAGCCGAGUUGAGAGACUGAUCGGCCACAUUGGGACUGAGACACGGCCCAAACUCCUACGGGAGGCAGCAGGU
Molecule: ribosomal RNA, 228 nt
Filed under: uncultured Lactobacillus sp.
Lineage: Bacteria; Bacillati; Bacillota; Bacilli; Lactobacillales; Lactobacillaceae
Description: partial 16S ribosomal RNA
Rfam family: Bacterial small subunit ribosomal RNA
Source: RNAcentral